RNAcentral lists this long non-coding RNA (1348 nucleotides) under Callithrix jacchus (white-tufted-ear marmoset). Its description in RNAcentral is "lncRNA (ENSCJAG00000070024.1)". The record is from RNAcentral. Lineage: Eukaryota; Metazoa; Chordata; Mammalia; Primates; Cebidae.
AUGCCUUAUGACAUCCCCAUGGAACCUUGGGUGAAGGCCCAUACAAGCCCCAUAGCCUUCCAGCUGUGGGACUACAUAUAUACACACUCACUGUCUCACUCACACCGAGGUUAUGGAAAACAACCGAAAACUAAAUUACCGAAGCCUCUCAUGAGGCAACCUGAGCCUCCAGUGACAUCUCACGCAAUUGAGGAAAAAACAUAUAAUUAGACUUUCUUUCUACAUCCCUUCACUUCUGGAAAGUGAUGAAAGUACAUGGGAAAGUUGAGAUGUAUAUCUCAGGGGAAAAGGACAAGAGCACAUGUGAAGAUGGUGAGUCAUUUUUUUUUAUUGCUUUCACUUAUGAAACAUCGUUUGUGAGCAGAGCUUGUAAUAUCAUAGCUUGCAGGUUGGAUGUCAGAAAACAUCUCUAAUGAUACUAUUUCUAGAACUCUCUGGAGUAACUAAAAUGUUUGGCUUUAAAUAAUAGAUAACCUGUCCCACCCUACCUUACACAAUUAUGAAACUCAUUAGUGCACAUAGUAGGAGGCCUAGGGUUAACACAGGUCCCAGAUCCACUGUGAACUCUUUUUCUACUUCUGUUCUGCAGUCGACAUUGUUGGCUAUACCUUAAAGCUUGUUCCUCUUUUGUUAAUGGAUAACUGUUAAGAAUAUUGCUUCCUUUUUUUUAUCAUAAGGGAAGUAAAAUCAUUUAGUCUUUUUUUUUUUUUUUUUUGAGAUGUAAUCUUGCUCUGCUGCCCAGGCUGGAGUGCAGUAAUGCAAUCUCGGCUCACUGCAACCUCCACCUCUCCUGCCUCAGCUUUCCAAGUAGUUGAGAUUACAGACACCCAACACCACACCUCGCUAAUUUUUGUAUUUUAAUAGAGAUGGGGUUUCACCAUGUUGGCCAGGCUGGUUUUGAACUCCUGACCUCAAGUGAUUCCCCCACUUCAGCCUCCCAAAAUACUGGAAUUACAGGCAUGAGCCACCACACCCAGCCCAUUUAGUCUUUCUUUAGUGAACAAAGAUUAUGUUUCCUCAGAUCUUGUAGCAAAUUUGCCUUGAAUUUCAUUGGCUAGAAUUUAGGCAAAUGUUUAUUUGUGAACCAAAUAUUGUCAUUAGGAUUAUCUUUAGACCAAUCAGGUGGCCAUCUGAGCUCAGUUUUCCAAAUGGCAUUGCUAUUACUUCAUGUAGCUUUACCACAAUGCCCAUUAAGCUCGUAAUAAUGUCUCAUUAUUAUAUUUGAUUAAUUUCUUUACUUGUAAUCACAAUGCCAUCAUUUCUGUUCUUUCUUACAUGUACGACAUAAAUUUAAAAUACUAGUCAUCUAAACUUCAGAAUUUUGUGGGAGUUUUUAGAUAAUGGCCAA